CCUACGGGAGGCAGCAGUGAGGAAUAUUGGUCAAUGGGGGCAAGCCUGAUCCAGCAACGCCGCGUGAGUGAAGAAGGCUUUCGGUACGUAAAGCUCUAUCAGCAGGGAAGAAAAGGACGGUACCUGACUAAGAUGCCCCGGCUAACUACGUGCCAGCAGCCGCGGUAAUACGUAGGGGGCAAGCGUUAUCCGGAUUUACUGGGUGUAAAGGGAGCGUAGACGGCAGGGCAAGUCUGAAGUGAAAUGCCGGGGCCCAACACCGGAACUGCUCUGGAAACUGUGAAGCUGGAGUGCAGGAGAGGUAAGCGGAAUUCCUGGUGUAGCGGUGAAAUGCGUAGAUAUCAGGAGGAACACCGGCGGCGAAGGCGGAUUACUGGACUGCAACUGACGUUGAGGCUCGAAGGCGUGGGGAGCAAACAGGAUUAGAUACCCCAGUAGUC
Molecule: ribosomal RNA, 440 nt
Filed under: uncultured bacterium
Lineage: Bacteria
Description: partial 16S ribosomal RNA
Rfam family: Bacterial small subunit ribosomal RNA
Source: RNAcentral